AAUAGAUACCCGGGUAGUCCACCCCGUAAACGUUGGGAGCUAGUUGUGGGGUCCUUUCCACGGAUUCCGUGACGCAGCUAACGCAUUAAGUUCCCCGCCUGGGGAGUACGGCCGCAAGGCUAAAACUCAAAGGAAUUGACGGGGACCCGCACAAGCGGCGGAGCAUGCGGAUUAAUUCGAUGCAACGCGAAGAACCUUACCAAGGCUUGACAUACACCAGAACACCCUAGAAAUAGGGGACUCUUUGGACACUGGUGAACAGGUGGUGCAUGGUUGUCGUCAGCUCGUGUCGUGAGAUGUUGGGUUAAGUCCCGCAACGAGCGCAACCCUCGUUCUAUGCUGCCAGCACGUAAUGGUGGGAACUCAUGGGAUACUGCCGGGGUCAACUCGGAGGAAGGUGGGGAUGACGUCAAAUCAUCAUGCCCCUUAUGUCUUGGGCUUCACGCAUGCUACAAUGGCCGGUACAAAGGGCUGCAAUACCGUGAGGUGGAGCGAAUCCCAAAAAGCCGGUCCCAGUUCGGAUUGAGGUCUGCAACUCGA
Molecule: ribosomal RNA, 540 nt
Filed under: uncultured bacterium
Lineage: Bacteria
Description: bacterial SSU rRNA
Rfam family: Bacterial small subunit ribosomal RNA
Source: RNAcentral